GAUGAAGAACGCAGCGAAAUGCGAUAAGUAGUGUGAAUUGCAGAAUUCAGUGAAUCAUCGAAUCUUUGAACGCACAUUGCGCCCCUUGGUAUUCCAUGGGGCAUGCCUGUUCGAGCGUCAUUUGUACCUUCAAGCUUUGCUUGGUGUUGGGUGUUUGUCCAUUCUCUUGCAGAGGGACUCGCCUUAAAGUAAUUGGCAGCCAGUGUUUUGGUUUUGAAGCGCAGCACAAGUCGCGAUUCAAAGCUAUACGCCCGCUUCCACAAGCCUUUUUCACUUUUGACCUCGGAUCAGGUAGGGAUACCCGCAGAACUUAAGCAUAUCAAUAAGCGGAGGA
Molecule: unclassified non-coding RNA, 334 nt
Filed under: soil metagenome
Description: partial contains 5.8S ribosomal RNA, internal transcribed spacer 2, and large subunit ribosomal RNA
Rfam family: 5.8S ribosomal RNA (bases 1-120)
Source: RNAcentral